Molecule: unclassified non-coding RNA, 507 nt
Filed under: Bombus terrestris (buff-tailed bumblebee)
Lineage: Eukaryota; Metazoa; Arthropoda; Insecta; Hymenoptera; Apidae
Description: misc RNA ENSBTSG00005031939.1
Source: RNAcentral
CUGGCUCCAUAUCUAAUUAAAACAAUAUAAUAUUUACAAUUAAACUUUCUUACACAAUUAAGUGAUUACUUCAUUUCUAACUGGUUAUCGCCGAACGCGCGUGAGUGCAAUGUCGAUGAACAGUGUUUAAUUUACUAAACUUUUAAUUUAUCACAACGAUGCUACCAUUCCAUUGUGUAUAGGUUAAGUUAUAAAACAUCGAUCUGUAUUACUGUUCCACCCAUUAAUCCUUUUUGGAUCCUCAGCCCAUACAGAAGAGGCACAUAGUACCAUCGAUUCCCAGAACAAUCUUCUAACUAGAAAUCUGCAAAUUUGUUAACCUAUAUAAUGGGACCAACUGUGCUCCUGUCUCUGUGGAAACCAUACUGGCUUUUGUGAUAUGGCUAUUGCCACAGAUAUUUCUCAGUGGAGGAUUUAGAAAUAUUCCCCCAUAUCUUGCUCAUCGCAGAGACACCAUCCACGCCAGCCGCCCGUUUAGAAUUUAAUCGUCCAAUGGCAUUCGCUAAC